This 1179-nucleotide long non-coding RNA is filed under the name Ananas comosus (pineapple). RNAcentral's name for it is "long non-coding RNA (ACOM_LNC012429)". The record is from RNAcentral. Lineage: Eukaryota; Viridiplantae; Streptophyta; Magnoliopsida; Poales; Bromeliaceae.
CAAAAAGUACGUAUACGAGCUGUUUAAUUCGAUAUUCAAAAAUUCGCGAAUAAUUAGCGAAUAAUUCGUGACUUAACUAACAAAGGUGUUGAUCCCAUCACACAAAAAUAAAAUAAAUAUACAAAUCUAUUUGAACUGUAGCCCUUGGAUCUACUUUUUGAUUACUAAGAAUUUUUGGAUCAAACACUAUUCCACUUCCACCUACUACCACCUAUCAUCAUCAUCCCAACCCUGCAUCUCUCCAUGGUUUGCUUUUGAAAAUAUUCUAGCUCAACUUUAUAUAUAUAUAUAUAUAUAUAUAUAUAUAUAUAUAUAUAUAUAUAUAUAUAUAUAUAUAUAUAUAUAUAUGCUACUAUACUAUCAAUAGUACCAAGCCCUUGGUACUAUUGAGUUUUCGGCCGUUGGAUGAAAGGAUGUGCGGUUAGGAUGAUAGUAGUCCCCUAGAGUUGAGUAGGUGAUUGGUUUAAUAGUAUAAUCUAACGGGUGAAAAUGAUCAAAAGGUAGAUUUAACGGUAGAAAACUCAAUAGUACUAAGGGCUUGAUACUAUUAAUAGUAUAGUAGCGGGACUCAUAUAUAUAUAUAUAUAUAUAUGUGUGGUAUAAAGAAUCGACCAUCAUCCCAACCCUACAUCUCUGGUACGUUUCUGGAAGCACGGAGCGCUCCGUACUUUCCAAGUUGUUUUCGAUGUUCAGACUUUCGAAUCGACGAUCAGCUCCGUUAGACUUGAUCUAGAGUAUUUGAAGUAUCUAGAAAAUAAAUUUUGCGAUUUUUUGAUAUCAUUUGCCUAGUGAUCGAAGUGACUCAAAAUCAACGGCUGAAAAUAAAAAUCUUACAAAAUAUGAUGAUAUGACAUUAAAAUUUUAGAUCAAAGUUAUUGAUCCUGUUUUAUAUGGUAUAAAGAAUUUUCUAUCAAAAUUUCAUAUGAUUUGGAUAUUUCUAUAUCGUUAAACUUGCAAAUGGCUCACCACGGCCAUUAAAAUUAUUGAUUUUGAGCCCUUUCAAUCACUAGACAAAUGAUAUAAAAAAAUCACAAAAUUUAUUUUUUAGAUACUUCAAAUACUCUAGAUCAACUCUAACGGAGCCAAUCAUCAAUUCGAAAGUCCAAACAUCAAAAAUAACUUGGAAUCACAGAAGGCUCCGUGCUUCCAAAAGCAUACUAGCCCACUCUAUAUAUAUAU